GACGAACGCUGGCGGCGUGCUUAACACAUGCCAGUCGAACGGAAAGGCCCUGCUUGCAGGGUGCUCGAGUGGCGAACGGGUGAGUAACACGUGGGUGAUCUGCCCCUUACUUUGGGAUAAGCCUGGGAAACUGGGUCUAAUACUGGAUAGGACCAUGCUGUAGGUGGUGUGGUGGAAAGAUUAGUUUCGGUAAGGGAUGAGCUCGCGGCCUAUCAGCUUGUUGGUGGGGUAAUGGCCUACCAAGGCGUCGACGGGUAGCCGGCCUGAGAGGGUGGACGGCCACAUUGGGACUGAGAUACGGCCCAGACUCCUAAGGGAGGCAGCAGUGGGGAAUAUUGCACAAUGGGCGCAAGCCUGAUGCAGCGACGCCGCGUGGGGGAUGACGGCCUUCGGGUUGUAAACUCCUUUCAGCCAUGACGAAGCCCUUGUGGUGACGGUAGUGGUAGAAGAAGCACCGGCUAACUACGUG
This 469-nucleotide ribosomal RNA is filed under the name uncultured bacterium. Its description in RNAcentral is "partial 16S ribosomal RNA". It matches the Rfam family "Bacterial small subunit ribosomal RNA", at positions 28 to 507 of the family's 1533-position model. The record is from RNAcentral.